CCAAUUUCCUUUCUCAAUGCCUUCAAGCGUUUUCUUUUUUAUUUUUAAAUCUCAUUUAAUUUUCAUCUAAUUUCACGGAAAGAUCUGUCUUCUCAAGAAAAUUAAGACCGUAUCCGAUAUUCACUUCCUUAAUCAGUGCGACCGAAAGAAGAAGAAAACAGAUAUUCAUACAAAAAGAAGAUAUGUAUCAGUGGGAUACGGGAUUCAAACUUGAUUGCCUAAAUUGCAGGCGAAGAAGGAGAAACAAGAAAGCAGAGUAGCUAAGUGAGACAAUAUAAUCUGCAACAUCAAGUGGUGAUCAAAAGGGCGUGAGAUUCCAUGGCAUAAUGAUAUGGGCUCCCGUGAGUGCUUGAUUGGGGAAAUGGAAUAAUUUGGAAGGGCAUGUGCACAAGAGGUGGUGGUGACAGGCAAAGGCAAUAGAAUCUGGAGAGGGAAGGGGAAACAAGCAAAGUCCAAACACACAGAAAGAGCCAAAUGGUGGAGUCGUCAGGGAAGAAAGGGAAAGUUGUGUGUGAAUGAAAGAGUUGGGUUCCAAUCAGGCAGGCACAGCCAGCAGCAGCAUCUAUUCUAUUCCCUUCAUUCCCUCUAUCUUUCCAAUAUAUUUGUUUGGUCGACCUUUUCCCACCUUGGAAGUCCUGCAGCUUUAUCAUCAACUUUUCCUCAUUUUCUUUCUGCUCUCUCUCAGUGUCCUCCUUGCAGGCUUCUCCAUGUGCUUUUGCCCCCGUCACUUCUCUUUCCUCUACCUGGAUUGAGAGCCCAUUAGCUACCUACAUACCCUCUCUGUCUAUAUCCCAAACGGUAAUGAACGGAUUAGAUAAAUAACAUUUCUUUCUUCUCCUAUGUAAUUGUCUUUCUAGAAAUUACUUGGACAAUGAUGCUGGUGUCACUUUAUGGAGUUAAUGCGUUCGUUUCAGUUCACAUGGUAGACCCUGUGUCACUCGAUUAUGAGAAUCUAGGUAGCAAGUAAAGUCAGUUACUCGAUGAAAAGAAGGUUGCGGGGGCAAAAUUAAAUCUUUCGACAGUUAAAUAAUAGUUCACAUAUUUGGCUUCACAUUUGUUUGUACGUUUAAUGCAUCUUUGGCUUCACAUGUAGACCACAUAUAUUUAUGGAGGAGGUAACCCGGGGGAACUAACUUCUUAUUCUUUUUCUUCCAACAUUUAUAGCGAUGUCAGUUAAUUUGAAAUCUCUAUAGAAGUCGGUUUAAAUACGGGGAACAAAUGAAGGGAAAAAUUAUCGAAGCCCUUCCAAAAGGACCUCCAUGUAAAUGCUAUGUGCUGCAUUCUUACGUCAUGUUGUACUAAAUGAACAGGCAAACAAAAACUACACACAGUAUAACAGGAAAAGGACGCUGAGGGGCAAAAUCUUGUUCUUUAAAGAAGUCCAAUUGUGGGGGAGAUAGGAAUCUAAAUGUGAUCCAAACACUUAGAGACAAAAUCUAAUUCAGAAGAUAAAAAAGGACUGAUUCCCUUCGAUUUCUUAUGUAAUGGAAGACAACUUUGAAGAGGGAAGCAUUCCCACAGCUAUAUUAAGCCCUUCUCUUAUUUAUCUACAUCCCUCUCCUUCUCACCCUUUUCAUCCCCAAAUAUGACCCCAACACCCUCAAAACUGAUCCUAACCCUGGCCAAGAGAAUAGACGUCCAGGUAGAUGGAGUACUGUUUUGUGGAGCUUGGUCUGCAUAAGCCUGAGAACUAUGAGGGACGGUUUUGUCAUUUGGGAGAGACUUUCCUCCUCCUUCUGCAUAUAUGCUGCUAAGUAGCUUCUAACUAGCACGCGCAGGCUACUUCCUGACUCAAGCGUUGCAGCUUGUGAAGGCAUUUGGUUAAUUAAGCCAGCUGCCUCGUCGUACGUCUUCCAUGGAGUGCCUGGCUCCCUGUAUGCCAUUUGCGUAGCCCAUCAGUGCAGUGUUGGCCUUGGUGAAUGGCGUGCGAGGAGUCAUGCAUGCUGGCAUUGCUCUUCAUCAGAGCAGACUUAAUCUCUACCCGUCCCAUUUCAUAUUCAGUUUCUGCAUUUUGUACAAUUCUCAACUCCUUAACGAGUCUUCCAUUUCUUUAUGCUUUGCCCUCUUUAAUUACUCACUCGGUUGUCUUGUCUAACUUGUUGCUCCGAGAUUCCUUUGGACUUGUCUUGAUGAGAGGCAGGUUUGCCGGUUAGGAAUUGGAUACACAUUUACGUCCAGUACUGAUCAUUAUCACCUUGAUUACAUGGUUGCUUGACACAGUCACAAGUCCUUGUUCUUCUGUAGUAUCUUUUUUGUUGGUAUAGGCUUCUUUUUGCAUUUGUUCGCAUCUAAGUCAAAUGAUCCUUCAAAGUAGGUUUGUGGUUUUUGAAUUAAUUACUAUCGUUGAAAAGUCAUAAUUUCUCUCACAGGGUAAGCAUACAAUUGAGCCAGAAGUUAAAUGAGAAUUAUAUUUAUCACCUGUCAAACUAACAAGCUUUAUCCGAUCAGCAAUAGGAAUUUUUGUUUUAGAAAUAACUUUGUGGAUAUUGGUUAUGUUGUUUAACACUGCUAUAGCCUUUUUGGUUUAUUAUAAUCGAUGAUUCACUGAUAUGUGCACAUUUACCUUAUAAUUUCUGCACUCCCGUAUUCACACACAAUACACUUUGUACUUAAAACACAAAAGAAAAUGCUAUUUACUUAUUUAACGAGGGGUUACUAUUUAUCAUUCGUAGUGCUAAACUAAUUGAAAAUUAUAUAGUUGAGCUUGAGUAUUCUAGUUUAAAGACUAAAAAUUUAAACCACAAAGAUUUGCGUCUUACGACUCUGGAUUAAUUUUUUUUUUUUCCUUUUAACCCCGAGUCUUUUGAAAUAGUUUCAAAGUUUAGAGUUCCUCAUAUUAUUAUUUUUAAUUCCGGUUCCCCAGCUGUGAUUUUUAUAUACUAGAUUUUACUCUCAGGAUCUUGUUAAAAUUGACACAGUGUGGCAGCUAGGAUCCAGCUCUUGUAAUCCAAUUCAUACUAGAAUCAAAAUUUUAUUAGCUAGCCAGUGAUAAGUGCUUGGAGGAUGCUGCGUGGUACACAAGGCUAAGGAAAACAAGGAGAAGUCAUGAUAGCUGUCCUUCGUUUCUGCAUCAAUUUUCUUGAGGGUCCUUUAUUAUCAACCGCAAAUUGAAGACUAGAAGAUUUGAAGCUUUUGGCAUAGAUGAGAUCAUGGUAGGCAACAGUUUGAGAACUUUGUCUUGUUCAGUAUGUUCUUAAACAAUAGAAUCUUAACCGCAGUUGACAUUUAUGGCGGGUUGCUAUGUGAUCCUCACACGCAAUGACGCCAUGAAAGCCCCACUUUAUUGAAGCCAAGCUUUCUUGUUGGAGGAUUUUGUUCGCCUACAGCAUUGGACUUAAUUGCUGCUGUAUGAAAUUGUUGUACCUUCUGCGCUGCCCGUAUCUGCAACUCGAUUCCGGCCUUAUCACUGUACGCCUACUCUUUCUUUCUCCCUCUCUUUCCUCUGUGGAUAUACUGCUCAUUUCACUAAAGCAGUCGGUGGUGGAGCCUUAAAUAUUUUAUUGUUGUAAACACUGAAACAUCAUUAUCAAACUCAAACACUAAUCAGGUCGAUAUCUUUAUAUAUAGUUAUGUGACUUAGA
Molecule: long non-coding RNA, 3581 nt
Organism: Prosopis cineraria
Lineage: Eukaryota; Viridiplantae; Streptophyta; Magnoliopsida; Fabales; Fabaceae
Exons: 2
Source: RefSeq, a predicted model, not a curated record